This is a microRNA precursor of Oryza rufipogon (brownbeard rice), 270 nucleotides long. It matches the Rfam family "MIR821 microRNA precursor family". The record is from Rfam. NCBI's taxonomy places the organism in Eukaryota, Viridiplantae, Streptophyta, Magnoliopsida, Poales, Poaceae.
GAUUUCAACUGAAAAAGUUAUCAACAACAAAGUUGAAUAACUCAUUAAGAUCUAUAACUUUUAUUUUGGUCAUUUCUUCAUCUGAUAAAAUGAUAGUAACAUUGUUCAUAAAUUUUACAUAUGUGUAUAGUUUAUAAAACCAGAUAAGAGAUAUGUCAAUUUUGUGAACAAUGUUACUAUCACUAUCAGAUGAAUAAAUGACCAAAAUAAAAGUUAUAGAUCUUGAUGAGUUAUUCAACUUUGUUGUUGAUAACUUUUUCAGUUGAAAUC